UUAAUAGUUUUUCAUAGGACAGAUCUGGCUUUCUCAGUAGCAGCUUGUGCUAUCACAUUCUGGUUAAGCUGACACAGAGAAACAUAAAGAUACCUCUCAUAAGAGCAAGAAGUUCCUCUGGUGCUCCUGAAAUAUCUCAUCCUGGCUACAAUUUUUAGAGGAGCCACAGAACAACUGACACUGCUGCUUCACCUCAUCAGACAGGACUCCUCAUCUCCCACGAAGCAGCCUGUAAAAGCCUACUUCUUGCUGCUCCAUGGAGCAGUCAGGCUGUGAAUCCUCUGCAGUGCUCUGGGGUUAAGGAGGAUGGCGUGAAAAAGAAGCCACAGAAAGAACACCUGUGCAAAUAACAGGAGGAAAUAUUGUUUUGGGAACACAAGAACUAAUUGUUGGAUGUUGUGGCUGUGUGGAAAAUUAGAUCACCCUAAUUUUUCAUACUAUUUUAAGACCAGGUAACUAAUCACAAACCAGUAGUGUAAUAAGGUCAGAGAGUUUUUUGGGGCUGUUAGACAAGUCAUAGACACCUGUGCAAGUGGGAGAGCUCCCAAGAUGUGUGAGUUCAGUAAGGAGGAGCUCAGCAAGGUUUUUGCUUGAUAUCCUACCAUAUUAACACUUCAUUUUGUGCAUUUUCUGAUUAAUCAUAAAAUCUCAUCCAGCUGACUUCCAAAGCCAACUGGGCCAGGUAGUCCUCUGUUCCUUAGAUACAGAGCCUCUCCCUUUCCCUCUCCAAUAGAAAUUCUCCAGGAACUGUCUGAUGUAAAUCAUGCCAAGGUGCCACUGGGCUGAAUUUCUUGCUAGAAUUUUAGUAUUUCUCAGGAUUUGACUUGUUCCUUAUAAAGACAAUUAUGCAAACCCUCUGCUCUACCUUUUCUCCUUGCCGUGUAGAAGUUUGAACACUACUGUAUCUUACUGGAUUAUUUUCUCUCUUUUUUUUUUUUUCUUUUUAUUUUCUUCUAUUUUAAUGCUGUUUUGACAGCCAGUCAAUUUUUUACCUUCCUUUGAAGAAACUACUCAAAAGGGCAGGAGCACAUGAGCUAACUUCAGGGUUGGUAAAGGAGAGGUAUUUUUAGAGUAAAGGGAACACAAAAAAGAACUGUUUUAUUUACUGUAAAAAACUGUGGAGGUCCUUAG
RNAcentral lists this long non-coding RNA (1131 nucleotides) under Chloebia gouldiae (Gouldian finch). RNAcentral's name for it is "Erythrura gouldiae (Gouldian finch) lncRNA (ENSEGOG00005003759.1)". Lineage: Eukaryota; Metazoa; Chordata; Aves; Passeriformes; Passeridae. The record is from RNAcentral.